AAGAUCUUACUCUUCUUUUGUUCUCUUGCACCGUUCCAUGGCAGACCCUUGCUCUAAUCUUUUCACUGGAUGGUUCAACUUUAUGCCUACUCAUUCUCAUUACACUACUGCUUUCACUCCUUACUCAAAUCGCUCUCCCUAUAGUUUCAAUCUCUACUCAAACAACCACAUCUUCAACAACAGAUCUUCCAUUCAAUAUCAAACCUACUAUCCCCCACCUCCUCCUCAGAAGGAGUCUCCUCCUCCUCCUCCUCUAAUAGAGUACUUAUGUCCCUCAAGACAACAAGAAGAGAACCACGAAUCCUCUAGUAAUUCCAUGGAAGAGGACAGGAACAUUAACAAGAAAUAUGAUGGUGGUGGUGAAACUGUGACCGUGGCUCUACAUAUAGGCCUCACUAGCCCUAGUUCUGAUCUGGGUUCUAGGGUUUGUUCCCACCCAUCAACAGAAGAAGGAAGUAGUGCAGUAUCAGGGGGUUACCCAUUGCAGAAACUAAUCAAGGGUCAAUAUUGGAUCCCUACUCCUUCUCAGAUUCUCAUUGGUCCUACACAGUUUUCAUGUCCUGUUUGCUUCAAGACUUUUAACAGAUACAACAACUUGCAGAUGCAUAUGUGGGGACAUG
This 620-nucleotide unclassified non-coding RNA is filed under the name Hevea brasiliensis (rubber tree). The record is from RNAcentral. Lineage: Eukaryota; Viridiplantae; Streptophyta; Magnoliopsida; Malpighiales; Euphorbiaceae.